AUUCUGCAAUGAUGAAGGGGGAUGAUUGAAAAGAGCUGGACUAAAUUGGUCUAACUAGGACACUUGAAGGCUUGUGAAUCAGUUCACACGAUCAGUGUGAAAAGCGGGUAUGAAGACCCAGAUGCUGGUGUGUACGUGUGCAUAUAAGCCCCAACAGCUAGAAAUCAAGCCUUUCUGGCUUCCGAUUGUUGGAGAAGUGGAAACAGUUAAUGGAGUAUGCAAUGAGAUUCUGCCAGAAACGGAGUAGAAAAACUGUGGCUCACCCGGGACCCAGUCUUUCCCCAGGUUCCCCACAGAUGAGCUCUGAAUCUGUUAUAAUUGACUCACCACGACCUGCAUGUACACAUGGAAUUCCUCAUGGCAUCCUUAGAUCUUUUUUGCCACAUCCUUUUGCUCUGACUCGAAGAGGAAGCCAACCCAUCU
Molecule: long non-coding RNA, 423 nt
Filed under: Homo sapiens (human)
Lineage: Eukaryota; Metazoa; Chordata; Mammalia; Primates; Hominidae
Description: non-protein coding LINC01625:8
Source: RNAcentral